RNAcentral lists this non-coding RNA (31 nucleotides) under Mus musculus (house mouse). The record is from RNAcentral. Lineage: Eukaryota; Metazoa; Chordata; Mammalia; Rodentia; Muridae.
UUCAAAGGAUGGUUAUCAUUUGACUGCUUGU